UGACCACUUCGGUGGGGAUUAGUGGCGAACGGGUGAGUAACACGUGGGCAAUCUGCCCUGCACUCUGGGACAAGCCCUGGAAACGGGGUCUAAUACCGGAUAUUGACCUUCACGGGCAUCUGUGAGGUUCGAAAGCUCCGGCGGUGCAGGAUGAGCCCGCGGCCUAUCAGCUUGUUGGUGAGGUAAUGGCUCACCAAGGCGACGACGGGUAGCCGGCCUGAGAGGGCGACCGGCCACACUGGGACUGAGACACGGCCCAGACUCCUACGGGAGGCAGCAGUGGGGAAUAUUGCACAAUGGGCGAAAGCCUGAUGCAGCGACGCCGCGUGAGGGAUGACGGCCUUCGGGUUGUAAACCUCUUUCAGCAGGGAAGAAGCGAAAGUGACGGUACCUGCAGAAGAAGCGCCGGCUAACUACGUGCCAGCAGCCGCGGUAAUACGUAGGGCGCAAGCGUUGUCCGGAAUUAUUGGGCGUAAAGAGCUCGUAGGCGGCUUGUCACGUCGGUUGUGAAAGCCCGGGGCUUAACCCCGGGUCUGCAGUCGAUACGGGCAGGCUAGAGUUCGGUAGGGGAGAUCGGAAUUCCUGGUGUAGCGGUGAAAUGCGCAGAUAUCAGGAGGAACACCGGUGGCGAAGGCGGAUCUCUGGGCCGAUACUGACGCUGAGGAGCGAAAGCGUGGGGAGCGAACAGGAUUAGAUACCC
RNAcentral lists this ribosomal RNA (700 nucleotides) under Streptomyces sp. KLBMP 2148. RNAcentral describes it as "bacterial SSU rRNA". It matches the Rfam family "Bacterial small subunit ribosomal RNA", at positions 72 to 787 of the family's 1533-position model. Lineage: Bacteria; Bacillati; Actinomycetota; Actinomycetes; Kitasatosporales; Streptomycetaceae. The record is from RNAcentral.